This 442-nucleotide ribosomal RNA is filed under the name uncultured bacterium. RNAcentral's name for it is "partial 16S ribosomal RNA". It matches the Rfam family "Bacterial small subunit ribosomal RNA", at positions 338 to 795 of the family's 1533-position model. The record is from RNAcentral.
CCUACGGGCUGCAGCAGUGGGGAAUAUUGGGCAAUGGGCGCAAGCCUGACCCAGCAACGCCGCGUGAGCGAAGAAGUAUUUCGGUAUGUAAAGCCCUAUCAGCAGGGAAGAAGUAAUGACGUUACCUUAAUCAGAAGCACCGGCUAAAUACGUCCCAGCAGCCGCGGUUAUCCGUAUGGGGCAAGCGUUGUCCGGAUGUACUGUGUGUAAAGGGAGCGGAGGCGGCAAGGAAAGUCUGAGGGGAAAGCCCGUGGCGUAACCGCGGGACUGCAUUGGGAACUACCUGGCUGGAGUGCAGGAGAGGUAGGCGGAAUUCCUAGUGUAGCGGUGAAAUGCGUAGAUAUUAGGAGGAACACCAGUGGCGAAGGCGGCCUACUGGACGGUAACUGACGCUGAGGCUCGAAAGCGUGGGGAGCAAACAGGAUUAGAUACCCCAGUAGUC